Molecule: small RNA, 28 nt
Filed under: Bombyx mori (domestic silkworm)
Lineage: Eukaryota; Metazoa; Arthropoda; Insecta; Lepidoptera; Bombycidae
Description: ovarian small RNA-22119
Source: RNAcentral
UAGAUCUGACCAUCGGACUGGUGCUCUG